RNAcentral lists this ribosomal RNA (253 nucleotides) under uncultured bacterium. RNAcentral's name for it is "partial 16S ribosomal RNA". It matches the Rfam family "Bacterial small subunit ribosomal RNA", at positions 524 to 776 of the family's 1533-position model. The record is from RNAcentral.
UACGGAGGGUGCUAGCGUUGUUCGGAAUUACUGGGCGUAAAGCGUGCGCAGGCGGCUUCUCAAGUCAGGGGUGAAAGCCCAGAGCUCAACUCUGGAAUUGCCUUUGAGACUGAGUGGCUUGAGUACGAGAGAGGUGAGUGGAAUUCCCAGUGUAGAGGUGAAAUUCGUAGAUAUUGGGAAGAACACCGGUGGCGAAGGCGGCUCACUGGCUCGUAACUGACGCUCAUGCACGACAGCGUGGGGAGCAAACAGG